This is a long non-coding RNA of Grus americana (Whooping crane), 912 nucleotides long. RefSeq lists it as uncharacterized. The transcript has 5 exons. Lineage: Eukaryota; Metazoa; Chordata; Aves; Gruiformes; Gruidae. The record is from RefSeq and is a predicted model, not a curated record.
CUCUGCUGUGAUUUCCUCUGGAAUUUCUUCUUCAGUCAAAGCUGCUGCACCUGGAGAGCAGUAAUGACAACACAAAACACACAACAGCAAUGCAAAAAUGGGCUUCCCAGUCAAAUUUAGAAGCAGCAGUACACCCAUGCAAUUGCUGCACGGAUGAAGGACAAUCUGUAGCUCUACGACUAUUUUUGCAAUCCCGUCUGAGCGUUUUUGACAGCUCUUGGCCUAACAGGUUUUAUACUACCUUUCUGGAGACUGCCUGACUGGACGAGAACAAGGAUUCAGAUGAGGGUAUACCGGAAGAAGGAUACAGUUUGCCAAGAUCCAUACUCAUCAUUUGACAGACAAGAUACUUCAGGCCAGCAGAGAUUCCCAGAGCAGUAAAAGAAGCGCAGCUGAGACAAUAGAUAUGAUUAUUCAAUUUAAAAUCUUAAGACAGGUGGCUCCACACGCCUGCCCUGGUUACCAAGCUAUAGUUCCAGAUUAAUUUUUUGCUACAGUGAAUAUGUUCUGAAAUUGAAGGCAGAACUAGCAAGCAUAAAACUAAUAUUAGAAAAGAAAUAACUCACCUCUGCGCUGAAGCAGCAACAAUCAAGGCAAGACAGAUUGUUACACGCUUUCUUUUUGAAGAGCAUCAGGCCAGUUUCCGAGCUCAUGAAUGCCAACGUACCACAAUCGUGCACGUACUGGUGCCACAGAUGUCACGACCGUAUCCCAAUAACAAGCUAGCACUCAGCAGCUGAGGACGCACAUGGCUAACGGUUACGCGCUUCUUGUUGGGACAAUAUUAAGUAAAGAUGUGGGUAGCAGUCCCAGGCAGAACAAGGAAGAGAGGCUCUGUCACCGUCCAGAGGAGUGACUGCGUGGAGCUGGACCUUCCCACCCGCGCUGGUAGCGCAUACAGGACGCUCUGUU